This 543-nucleotide ribosomal RNA is filed under the name Bergemesa sp. Its description in RNAcentral is "partial large subunit ribosomal RNA". The record is from RNAcentral. Lineage: Eukaryota; Metazoa; Arthropoda; Insecta; Hemiptera; Reduviidae.
AAACUCAAAAGGCGAAAAUGAAAGUAAAUAGCGGGAAAUAUUGGUUUGAAAAAUUUUUUUUCCUUAUCAAWUUUCCCCCUAUAGGGAAGAUGGAAUACUGUAAUUUAUUUAAGUUUUUCUAAAAUUUAGAUAAUUUUACAAGUUUCCCGCACUCCCGGGGCGCUUGUUUCUCGCUUUGCGAGUCAGUGCGCACCUAGAGCGUACACGCUGAUACCCGAAAGAUGGUGAACUAUGCCUGGCCAGGACGAAGCCAGGGGAAACCCUGGUGGAGGUCCGCAGCGAUUCUGACGUGCAAAUCGAUCGUCGGAGCUGGGUAUAGGGGCGAAAGACCAAUCGAACCAUCUAGUAGCUGGUUCCCUCUGAAGUUUCCCUCAGGAUAGCUUGCAUUUAUUUGAGACGAAUCUCAUCCGGUAGAGCGAAUGAUUAGAGGCAUUGGGGUCGAAACGACCUCAACCUAUUCUCAAACUCCAAAUAGAUGAGAUCCCCGGCUUUCUUAAAAAUGAAGCCGUGGGAAUUGGAUCAAAGUGCAAAGUGGGCCAAUUU